AUUCGAGUCCCAGAGUGAACAUGAACUCUGAAAUGUAGGUACAUCCUGCAAAAUAGGGCGAAACGCGCGUCCUGAAU
RNAcentral lists this non-coding RNA (77 nucleotides) under Schistosoma margrebowiei. Lineage: Eukaryota; Metazoa; Platyhelminthes; Trematoda; Strigeidida; Schistosomatidae. The record is from RNAcentral.